ACCCGCGCUCGGCUCCCUGCUCGGUCGGGCUGGAACCUGUACUGGCAGCCGGAGGUGUAGGUAGGAACCGGAAUACCUCGGAAGCCGGGAAAUGGACUCAAUGAUCUUUGAGGAUGUGGCUGUGAACUUUACCCAGGAGGAGUGGGCUUUGCUGGAUCCGUCCCAGAAGAAACUCUACAGAGAUGUGAUGUGGGAAAUCAUCAGGAACCUGAUGUCUGUAGGAAUAAAAUGGGAAGACCGGAACAUUGAAGAUCAGUACAAAAAUUCCAGGAGAAAUCCAAGAAAUCAUAUGGCAGAGAGACUCUGUGAAUGUAAAGAUGGUCAAUGUGGAGAAACUUUCAGCCUGAUUCCAGAUGGUAUAAUGAACAAGAACACUCUUCCUGGGGUAAAACCAUGUGAAAGCAGUGUGUGUGGAGAAGGCAACGUGGAUCAUUCAUCUCUGAAUUGCUACAUCAGAGCUGACACUGGACACAAACCGUAUGAGUGUCAGGAACAUGGAGAGAAGCCACAUAAAUGUAAGCAGUGUGUAAAAACCUUCAGCUGCCUCCACUCCUUCCAAACACAUGAAAAGCCUCACACAGGAGAGAAACCCUAUGAUUGUAAGGAAUGGGAAAAAACCUUCGAUUCUCCCCAAACCGUUCGAAGAUACAGGGUAGUGCACAGUGGAGAUGGACCUUAUAAAUGUAAGUUUUGUGGGAAAGCCUUUGAUAAUCUCAGUUUAUAUCUCACACAUGAAAGAUCUCAUACUGGACAGAAGCCAUAUGAAUGUAAUGAAUGUGGGAAAGCCUUUGGUUUUCCCAGCUCCUUUCAUAGACAUGAAAGAAUGCACACCGGGGAGAAACCAUAUGAAUGUAAGCAAUGUGGGAAAACCUUUAGUUGUUCCAGUUCCAUUAAAAAACAUGAAAGAAUCCACACUGGAGAGAAGCCCUAUGAAUGCAAGCAAUGUGGGAAAGCCUUCGCUUCUUCCAAUUCCUUUCAGUAUCAUGAAAGGACUCACACUGGAGAGAAACCCUAUGAAUGUAAGCAAUGUGGGAAAGCCUUUAAUUGUUCCAGUUCCCUUAGAAAACAUGCAAGAAUUCACACUGGAGAGAAACCCUAUAUAUGUAAACAAUGUGGUAAAGCUUUUAGAUUUCCCAGUUCUAUUAAAAAUCAUGAAAAGACUCACACUGGAGAGAAGCCCUAUGAAUGUCAGGAAUGUGGGAAAGCCUUCAGAUAUUCCAGUUCACUUCGAGUACAUAAAAGAAUUCACACUGGAGAGAAGCCGUAUGAAUGUGAGGACUGUGGGAAAGCCUUCAGUCAUCCCACGACCUUUCAUAGACAUAAAAUUACCCACACUGCAGAGAAACCUUAUGAAUGUCAGGAAUGUGGGGAAGCCUUCCGUUAUCCUGUUGCUUUUCGUAGACAUAAAAUUACCCACACUGCAGAGAAACUUUGAGUGUAAGGAAUGUGGGAAAGCCUUCUGUUAUCACAGUUCCCUUCAAAGACAUGAAAGGACUCACAACGGAGAAAAGUUGUGUGGAUAUAAAAAAUGUAAAGCCGGCUGGGUGCGGUGGCUGACGCCUGUAAUCCCAGCACUUUGGGAGGCCAAGGCGGGCGGAUCAUGAGGUCAAGAGAUUGAGACCAUCAUGGCCAACAUGGUAAAACCCCAUCUCUACUAAAAAUACAAAAAUUAGCUGGGCGUGGUGGCAUGUGCCUGUAGUACCAGCUACUUGGGAGGCUGAGGCAGGAGAAUUGCUUGAACCUGGGAGGUGGAGGUUGCAGUGAACCGAGAUUGUGCCACUGUACUCCAGCCAGGUGACAGAGUGAGACUCCGUCUCAAAAAAAAAAAAAAAAAAAGUAAAGCCUUCCACUAUUCCAGUACCUUCUGAAACCAUGAAAGAACUGACACUUGAGAAAAACAAUGAUGUUAGGAACAUGGGAAACCUUUCCUUUCUCUCUCAAUCGUUUGAAGGCAUAUGGUGUGACAUGCUGGCGAUAGACCUCAUAACUGUAAGGAACAUGGAAAACGAUUCUUGUUUUCCAUGCUCCUUGUUUAUUUUAGAUACAUGAAAGAAUUUACUCUGGAGAGAAACUAUGAGUGUAAAAAAUGUGGUAACGCCUUGUGUAGUUUCUGUUUCUCUGAAAUACUGUCAUGUCCUGGUAUUCUCAGGGGAUUAGUUGCAGGCACCCCGCUCCCCACUUCAGAACAUCUAAAUCUGAAGAUGCUCAAGUGCUUUAUAUAAAAUGGUGUAUUUUCCUAGAACCUAAGCACAUCCUCUUGUACACUUUAAAUCAUCUCUAGGUUAUCCAUACUGCCUAAUGCAUUGUAAACGAUAUAAAAAUAGUUGUUUCAUUGUGUUAUUUAGGGAAUGCUGACAAGAAAAAACAUCUGUAGAUGUUUAAUACAGAUAACCAUCACAUGCCCACCUCCAUAGUACAGGCCCACCUCAUAGUAUAUGUCAGCUACAAUGAAACAUUUUCUUUUUUUUUUAAAAAACGUUUUGGAUUGGUUUCAUUUAAUGGCCUCAAAAACACGUGUUAACAUUCUCCAAAUCCUUGGUUCUUCUCUCCUGAUAACCCUCAUGUGAUGAUUGCUCUGUGGUUCCUAAAGCUGCAGUGUGUUGAGGUGCUUAGAUAUGUGGCAGUGUAGAUAAGUCAGGGGACAUCAGUUUAACUUGAAUUUUCUUUUUUUUUUUUUUUGAGAUGGAGUCUUGCUCUGUCACCCAGGCUGGAGUGCAAUGGUGUGAUCUCGGCUCACUGCAACCUCCACCUCCUGGGCUCAAGUGAUUCUCCUGCCUCAGCCUCCCAACCAGCUGGGAUUACAGGUGCCCGCCACCACACCCGGCUAAUUUUUGUAUUUUUAGAAGAGAUGGGGUUUCACCAUGUUGGCCAGGCUGGUCUUGAACUCCUGACGUCGUGAUCUGCCCACCUUGACCUCCCAAAGUGCUGGGACUACAGGAAUGAGCCACCCUGCCCGGCCAGAAUUUUCUUUCAGGACAUCAGGAGGAUCCUCUGCUGGAAGAACCAACAUCUGAUUGCAGAUGUUGCCUCUUUGGUGGAAGGUCAGUAACACAAAUCUUGGAUCUGUGGUGUUUGAGGGCUGAAAAUAUUUAAGCAUCGAACUUUCAGUCCUUUUUUUUUUUCUUUUUUUUUGAGAUGGAGUCUCUGUCGCCCAGGCUGGAGUGCAGUGGCACGAUCUCAGCUCACUGCAACCUCUGCCUCCCAGGUUCAAGCGAUUCUCCUGCCUCAGCCUCCCAAAUAGCUGGGAUUACAGGCGCACACCACCAUCCCCAGCUAAAUUUUGUAUUUGUAGCAGAGACAGGGUUUCAUCAUGUUGGCCAGGCUGGUCUUGAACUCCUGAUCUCUGAUGAUCUGCCCACCUUGGCCUCCCAAAGUGCUGGGAUUAUAGGCGUGAGCCACCGCACCCUGCUGAAGUUUCAGUCUUCAUAAUUGCAGAUGCUUUAGUUGGAAACGUUGUCAUAGGAAAAGCUGUUUUUUCUUUCUCUUUGAAUCAUCAAACACAUCUUGCAAUGGUUUUGGCCAUGUUAUCUCUGGUGACCUGGAAGCGACUUUGAUAUUAAGCUUCAGAGUAUGCUGAAACAAGUCAAGACUUUUGGUGAUGUUAGGAUGGUAAGCAUGUAUUUUGCAUGUGAGGUCAUAAAUUUAGGGAGCAGGUAGAAAAUUAUUGCUUUAUUUGUCCCCUGAAAUUCAUAUUAUUAUUAUUUUUUUGAGAGAGUUUUGCUCUUGUUGCCUAGGCUGGAGCGCAAUGGCACAAUCUUGGCUCAAUGCAACCUCCACCUCCUGGUUUCAAGCGAUUCUCCUGCCUCAGCCUCCCAAGUAGCUGAGACUGUAGGCAUACGCCACCGUACCCGGCUAAUUUUUUGUAUUUAGUAGAGACAGGGUUUCACCAUGUUGGUCAGGCUGGUCUCCAACUCCUGACCUCAGGUGAUCCAUGCACCUCGGCCUCCCAAAGUGCCGGGAUUAUAGAGAUGCGCCACCACGCCCAGCCCUGAAAUUCAUAUUUUGAAACCUUACUCCCUAAUGUAUGGAAUGAGGAGAUAGGAUGCCUGGGAGGUAAUUAGGAUUACUUGGGAUCAUGAGGGUAGAGUUCUCAGGAAUGGGACUAUAAGGUUCCCUAGAGAGCUUGCAUUUGCUCUCUAUUAUGUGAGGACACAAUGAGAUGAAAGCCUUCUUUGAACAAGGAAGCUUGCCCUUACCAGGCACUGAAUCUACUAUCACUUUGAUCUUGGAGUUCACAAUCUCCUGUAUACUGAGGAGCAAAUGUUAGGUGUUUAAUACACCCAGCUUAUGUCAUUUUGUUUUAGGAGCCCCUGGUGGAUAAAGCACAACCCCAUUAAAAAAUAGGUGAAGGAGUUGAAUAGACAUUUCUCUAAUGAGGAUGUACAAAUAGACAAUAAUUACAUAAAGAAGAUGUUCAGCAUCACUCAUGGUUUAGGGACAUGCAAAUCAAGAGCAAAAUGACAUCUAUAUCCCCUCACCCUCAUUAGUUUGCUUCUGUCCAAGAACAAAAUAACAUGCUGGCAACGAUGUGGAAUAGUGAGGACCCUUGUACACUAUUGAUGGAAAUGCAAAAUGUCACAACUACUUUUGAAAACUAUAUGGCAGGCCGGGUGCGGUGGCUCAUGCCUGUAAUCCCAGCACUUUGGGAGCCUGAAGUGGGCAGAUCACCUGAGAUUGGGAGUUGAAGACCAGCCUGACCAAGAUGGAGAAACCCCAUCUCUACUAAAAAUACAAAAAAAUUAGCCGGGCAUGGUGGCCCAUGCUUGUAAUCCCAGCUACUCAGGAGGCUGAGGCAGGAGAAUCACUUGAACCCGGGAGGCGGAGGUUACAGUGAGUGGAGAUCGCGCCAUUGCACUCCAGCCUGGGCAACAAGAGCGAAAGUCCAUCUCAAAAAAAAAAACAAAAAAACAAAAAAAAAAACAACUGUGUGGCAGGUAAUCAAUACAUUGAAAAAAUGGAAAUAACAUCCACCAUUUUUCCCUUCUGGGAAUAUAAGCAAAAGAAUAGAGACGGGGGCCUGAAAUGGGUAUUUGUAUACAUGGUAUAGCAGUAUAACUUACCAAUAGGGAAAAUGUGGAAGCAACUCUCUUGUAUAUUGACAGAUGGAUGAAUAAGCAAAAGGUAGUAUAUGCAUAGGAUAGACUAUUACUCUGCCUUCAAACGGAAGGGUGACCUGACAAAUGCUACAGCAUUGAUGAACUUGGAGCACAUUAUGCUAAGUGAAAUAGUCCAUUCAUAUAAAGACACACCUUAUAAGGUCGAGUCACUUGAUUUUUUACAACCUGUCUCCAGACAUGGGCUCCUUAAACUCCAGACCCAAAAUGUUUUUGCUUAUAUGAGGUACUCAGAGGAGUCAAAUUCAUAAAGAAAGUAGAAUGGUGAUUGUGUGGAAUAGGGGAAGUGGGUAAUGGAGACUUAUGAUUUAAUGGCAUAAAGUUUCAAUAUUGCAAGAUGAAAAGGGUUCUGGAGAUAGAUGGUGGUGAUGGCUGCACACCAAUAUGAACGUACUGAAAGCCAGUAAUUCUACACUUAAAAAUUAAGAUGGGCCGGGCACAGUGGCUCACGCUUGUAAUCCCAGCACUUUGGGAGGCCGAGGUGGGUGGAUCACCUGAGGUCAGGAGUUGGAGACCAGCCUGGCCAAAAUGGCAAAACCCCGUCUCUACUAAAAAUACAAAAAUGAGCUGGGCAUGGUGGUGCAUGCCUGUAAGCCCAGUUACUCAGGAGGCUGAGGCAGGAGGAUCUCUUGAACCCGGGAGGCUGAGGUUGCAGUGAGCUGAGAUUGUGCCACUGCACUCCAGCCUGGGAGACAGAGCAAGACUCCAUCUCAACAACAACAACAAAAAAUUGUUAAGAUGAUAAAUUGUAUUUUUUCUGUAUUUUAGUACCAUUAAAAUACGUGGGAUUGGUCAGAGUGGUGGAUAGGGAAAGGACGCAAACCUUCUGAGAGGUUGGAAGGUUCUGCAGAGCCCUGGGGGAGAAUAGCUGAAGGUGGCUGUUCUAUAACCCUGAGGCAGAGGGCAUGGAGUAGGUACAAGGGAGUGUGGGGGAAUUUAUCUUAAACAGGCUUGUUUACUUGUGUUGACCAGGAACUGACCUUUCAUCAUCCCUGUGCCUGACGUUCCCUGAAAGGGGAACAAUAAGUGUUAAUUACCUACAGGUUGUGUUGGCUCCAGGUUUUUGGCAUUGUGCCUAGACUGAAUAAAAGCAAGCAGCUCCAGCUUCUUGGGGCUGCUUUCUGGCCACUAGAGCCAGGCAGUCACCUAGUUGCUGUUACACUGAAUACCUGUGUCUGAGUCCUCAUUUCAUCCGUUGGCCAGGGUCUGCAGGACAGACCCGGCAUUAAAAGAGUGGGGAGCCACAGUAGUGCAAAGACCCCACUGGACCACCAACAUACCAAGCAGUUCUUGGUUCAAUCCCUCCUUGUCCUCAACACUGUUUUUCCAUUUUCCUUGUCCAUAAAGGACCUGUUUCCACAUGCUUGCUUUGACUCUGAUGUCACCUUUAGAGUUGAUGCUCAGGCAUAGCUCACUUAACUGCCUCACCUUUUCUCUCCUGAUCUGGUUGUUGAUGGCUGUUGUGAGACAUUGGUUGUUGCCUUUUUAGUUUAAAAGGAUUCAAAUGACACACAGCAAUGGAGAUGCAGUAUAUGGCAAUUUAUUGCAAACGAAAAAGUAUUUUGAAAGUUAAGUGCAGAACAGACAGUAUGCCCUGAGAGAGAGAGGAGGAUUCAGGGCAGGCUGCUCAUAAGGAUGAGACAGCAAACAGUGGCACUAGGGAGACUUUUUAAAAAAAUUUUAAUAGUUAGAUUUCAGCUCUUUUGAGUGGUUUCAAGUCUGCUGUGGAGGAAGGGGGUAGGGGGAAGGUGGGCAUAGCCCGAGAGGCAACAGACUCCAGAACAUUCCAGACACAGUCCUUCAGAGGCUGGCUAGUAUUAAGGAAAGUGGUUAGGUUUGUGAGGUGAAACAGUGGAUGCUUGUGGCUUUUCCGCAGUGUGUGCAGUCAGGCCAGCUUGACUUGGAGGAAAGCCAUUCAACACAAAAAUGGCACCACAGUUACCCUGGAGGUAACUGUGAAGCACAGGGUUUGAGCCACCUCCAUCAUCCUCAGGGCACUGUGUGUUUCAGGAUACUCUGUGGCACUGCUUUCUUUUCUUUUCUUUUCUUUUUUUUUUUUUUUUUUGGACGGAGUCUCGCUCUGUCGUCCAGGCUGGAGUGCAGUGGUGCGAUCUCGGCUCACUGCAAGCUCCGCCUCCCGGGUUCUCGCCAUUCUCCUGCCUCAGCCUCCCGAGUAGCUGGGAUUACAGGCGCCCGCCACCGCGCCCAGCUAAUUUCUUUUUGUAUUUUUAGUAGAGACGAGGUUUCACUGUGUUAGCCAGGGAUGGUCUCAAUCUCCUGACCUUGUGAUCCGCCCGCCUCGGCCUCCCAAAGUGCUGGGAUUACAGGCGUGAGCCACAGCGCCUGGCCGAGAGACUCCUUUUAUGGGAAUCUUACAUGAUUAUUCAUAAGGGGCUGGGAAGAGGUGUUACUAGUAAGCACAUUCUGGGUGGUCUUCUGGGUGCACAUGCACAGUAGCUGCCCAUUCUUGUUCAUACGUCACAUCUCAUUAGCAUCUUAAAUCUCCACCCAGGGAUGUGGUUUUUACUAUUAUAAUGAGCAAAGGGUCAAUCUGAAGACAGGUAAAAUAAAAAUACGCGUGCUCCCUACAGGGGAAAUUCCCUACUGGAGAGAGCUUUGCUUGAAUGAGCUUGACUACAAUGCGAAUGCUGAGGCUUAUUGUGUUGACUGUACGAUUGCCAAGUCUCCAGGACAUGGUUACUUCCUUGGCUACCUAUCCUGUCUCAUGGUCCUCAGUCACUUCACACCCAUGAUGUAUGCUAACACCCUUCGGUUAUCUGUUUAGAAGGGAUAAUUAUUAUUUUUUUCUUUUUGAGACAGAGUCUCGCUCUGUUGCCAGGCUGGAGUGCAGUGGCACGAUCUCAGCUCCCUGCAACCUCUGCCUUCUGUGUUCAAGCAAUUCUCCUGCCUCAGCCUCCCGAGUAGCUGGAACUAUAGGCAUGUGCCACCAUACCCAGCUAAUUUUUGUAUUUUUAGUAGACGAGGUUUCACCAUGUUGGCCAGGAUGGUGUCGAUCUUCUGACCUCGUGAUCCACUCGCCUCGGCCUCCCAAUGUGCUGGGAUUACAGGCAUGAGCCACCGCGCCCAGUCUAGAAGUUAUAAUUUUAACUUUCCCUGAAGAACACUCAUAAACAUAAGUUAAGGAUUGCAAUGUUUUGUUCAUGAACAAAUCUUCCAGACUGUGAGAAUUAAGCAAGAUAAACUGAAAAUAAUAAUAAUGCGAUACAGAUUUUCCUAACUACAGAAAAUUGAGGAAACAUACUACAAAAUGUGGAAUGACUGACCUUUAAUUCUACCUGGGCUGGAGGUUCAAGAAAUGGACAGAAGGGGUCACUACAUGCACAGGAAAGAAUUUCCUAAUUUUACCAGUAGAGCUGAUGUUGAAGGAGAAAUAUGUGCUGUAACAAGAGAACUUCAAAGUAGGAUGAAUGAAGGAAAUCUUACCCCCCUAAUAAUAUGGAAUUUAUGCAGAAUCAAUUUUUACUUCAGAAGAUGGAGUUUCACUCUUGUUGCCCAGGCUGGACAACAACGACAACGCGAUCUCGGCUCACCGCAACCUCCGCCUCCCGAGUUCAAGUGAUUCUCCUGUCUCAGCAUCCCAAGUAGCUGGGAUUAUAGGCAUGCGCCACCAUGCCCAGCUAAUUUUGUGUUUUUAGUAGAGAUGGAGUUUCUCCAUGUUGGUCAGGCUGGUUUCAAACUCCCGACCUCAGGUGAUCCUCCUGCCUCGGCCUCCCAAAGUGCUUGGGAUUACAGGCAUGAGCCACCACGCCCGGCCUUCAUCAUAAUUUUAUAACUUCAUAAUACAUUGUUCUUUUUCUUUUUCUUUUUUAAAAGAUUCAAUGAUUUUUUUUAAAGCAAUAAAAAAUAGUAAAAAACCCUUUGUGUUUACUGAAGUGGUUAUCAUUUCUGGUCCUCUUCUUUCUUUCCGGAUUUCCACUUGGCUUCAUUUUUCUUUGCACCCAUGCAGUUUAGGGAUGUCUCUUAUGGAGCAAGUAUGCUGAUUACAAACACUUUCACUAUGGCUGAAUUAAUAAUUUAUUUUCCCUUCAUUUGGAAAGAUAUUGUUUGCUGGAUAUAGGAUUCUCAGUUGAUAUACUUGUUCUUUCAUUACUUUAAGGUAGUUGUUCUAUGGUCUCCUGAUCUGCGCUGUUGCUGGUAAUAAGUAUGUAAUGAAUCCUAUCUUUGGUUCAGUGUAGUUAAUGUGUCUUUUUCCUGUUGCCUUAAAGCUAUUUUAAUUGUUCUUGCUGUGAAGUAGUUUACUGAUGAUGUGCUUGGUGUAGAUUUAUAUACAUAUAUGCUCAUGGUUUGUUGAACUUUUUUGAUUUCUGGGUUUAUAAUUUUCAUCCAGUUUGGCAAAUGUGAAACCAGUAUUUGUUGAAAUAUUUUUUGUCAUGCUCUUUCCUCUGCCAAAGAGUCUUGUUAUUUGCAUAUUAUGUCACUUGUAAUUUUCCCACUACACAGCUCACUGAUUUUCUGUUUUUUGUUGUUGUUGUUUUUUUUGCUGGGUGCUUCAUUUGGGAUAGUUUCUACUGCUAGGUCACAAGGUUCACUCGUCUUCUUCUCUGCAGUAUCUGAUUUGCUGUUUAUUCCACUCAGUGUAAUUUGUUAUCCCAGAUGUUGUUUUCAUGCCUAGUAGCUUGAAUCAUGUUUUUUUCUUUAGUUUUUAGAUUGUUUGGAGGUAAAAUAUACUAACAGAGAAUUUGCCAUUUCGAUCAUUUUUAAAAUGUGCCAUUUAGUUGUAGUAAAUAAAUUUACGAUGUGGUGUAACCAACGCAGCUAUUGAUCUCUAGCAUUCUCUCAUCACUCUAAACAGAAAUUGGGUACUCAUUAAACACGUCCCCAGUCUCCCUUCCCCCCAGCUCCUGAUAAUGUCUAUCCUACUUUCUCUAUGAAUUUGGCUAUUCUAGGCACCUCAUAUAACGGGAAGGAUACAAUAUUUGUCCUUGUGCUGGGCAUGGUGGUUUAUGCCUGUAAUCCCAGCACUUUGGGAGGCUGAGGCAGGCAGAUCACGAGGUCAGGAGUUCGAGACCAGCCUGACCAACAUGGUGAAACCCCGUCUCUACUAAAAAUACAAAAAUUAGCCAGGUAUGGUGGUGUGCACCUGUAAUCCCAGCUACUCAGGAGGCUGAGGCAGGAGAAUCGCUUGAACCUGGGAGGCAGAGAUUGCAGUGAGCCAAGAUCACACCACUGCACUCCAGCCUGGAUGACAGAGUGAGACUCUGUCUCAAAACAAAACAAAACAAAAAAUUUGUCCUUGUGUGUCUGGCUUAUUUCACUUAGCAUAAUGUUUUCCAGGUUCAUUCGGGUUGUAUCAUGUAUGAGGAAUUCAUUGCUUUUUCUGUCUGAAUGAUACUUCAUUGCACGGAGAAACCACACUUUGUGUGUCUACUCUAAACACUUUUCUUUUUUUGUAAAGAUUUUAAAAAUAUAUUUAAAAACUAGUUUGAGAGUAAUUGAAUUAAAUCAUUGACUGGAAGAGUUGUUUCUACAGUAAUAUUUUGGCUACUGUGAAUUAAGAUGGCUAUGAAAUUGGUAUACAUGUGUCUGUGUAAGACCCUGCUUUUACUUCUUUUGGGUAUAUACCUAGAAGUGGAAUUGCUGGUGUAAAGAGUAAUGGAUGUUUCCCUUUUCUUUUUUUCUUUUUUCUUUUUUUUGAGACGGAGUCUUGCUCUGUCACCCAGGCUGGAGUGCAGUGGUGCGAUCUUGGCUCACUGCAAGCUCCGCCUCCCGGGUUCACACCAUUCUCCUGCUUCAGCUUCCCGAGUAGCUGGGACUACAGGCGCCCGCCACCAGGCCUGGCUAAUUUUUUGUAUUUUUAGUAGAGACGGGGUUUCACCAUGUUAGCCAGGUUGGUCUCGAACUCCUGACCUCAUGAUCCACCCGCCUCAGCCUCCCAAAGUGCUGGGAUUACAGGCAUGAGCCGCUGUGCCUGUCCUGUUUUUGUUUUUGUUUUUGAGAUGGAGUUUCGUUCUUGCUGCCCAGGCUAGAGUGCAAUGGCGUGAUCUCGGCUCAUGGCAACCUCUGCCUCCCGGGUUCAAGUGAUUCUCCUGCCUCAGCCUCCCGAGUAGCUGGGAUUACAGGCAUGCACCACCACGCCCGGCUAAUUUAUUUUGUAUUUUUAGUAGAGACGGGGUUUCUCCACGUUGGUCUGGUUGGUCUCAAACUCCCGACCUCAGGUGAUCCACCCACCUCGGCCUCCCAAAGUGCUGGGAUUACAGGGGUGAGCCACCACACCUGACCUUCCUUUUAAAUUUUUAAAAUGUUUGCUUCAUAUAUUUUGGGCCUCUGUUAUUUAGUGCAAUUAUAUUUAUAACUGUUAUAUAUUCUGUAUGAUUUGAGCCUUUUAUAGUGCUCUUCUUUGUGUCUUUUAACAGUUUUUGACUUAGUCUAUUUUGUGUGACAAUUGUAUAGCCACCCCUGCUCUCUUUACAUUACUAUUUGCAUGGAAUAUCUUUUUCUUUCAUUCUCUUUCAACUGACUUGGGUAUUGAGAUCUACAAUGAAUGUGCUGUAGACAGGAUACAAUUUGAUCAUAUUUUAAAGAUUCAUUCUCCCUGCCUCUGUCUUUUGUUUGGCAAGUUUAUUCCAUUUAAUUACCGAUAACGAAGGCAUUAUGUCUGCCAUUGUACUAUUCGUGUUCUGUAUGACUAAUAGCUUUGUUUUUCAUAAAAUACGAGGAAUUCCUUAUGUUUUCAAAAUCAGUGUCUAGUUUCUUGGCUUUUGAUUGGAAACUUUUAUUAACACUUAAAGGAGGGAGCAUAGCCACACUCUGCAGAGGGGACAAGAGGGCAAGUUGAACUCCCAGAGCUGAAUCCUUAUGUAUCUUGCCUCAUCACCAUGACUUGGUAAUGAGGCAGGGACACUCUGGGGACCCAUUUCUUUUUCUUAUCUUUUUUCUUUUUUGAGACAGAGUUUUGCUCUUUCGCCCAGGCUGGAGUGAAGUGGCACAAUCUUGGCUCACUGCAACCUCUGUCCGCUCCCCCCGCCGCCCCACCCCGGGUUCAAGCGAUUCUCCUGCCUCAGCCUCCUGAGUAGCUGGGAUUACAGGCGCCCACCAUCAUGCCUGGCUAAUUUUUGUAUUUUUAGUAGAGACGGGGUUUCACCGUAUUGGCAAGGUUUGUCUCGAACUCCUGACCUCAGGUGAUCCAUCCGCAUUGGCCUCCCAAAAUGCUGGGAUUACAGGUGUGAGCCACCGCACCCGGCCUCUGGGGACCCAUUUCAACAGUCUGGCACCCAUGGUUGGGAAUAUGUUUAACCUCUAAAUUGGGGUUUUCCUGCUGAACUGCGUCUGAAAGACUGCUUCUCUGAGCUAGCUCAUGUUUUUGCUUUUUCUCUCUAUUGAUUCCUUUAUAGAAUAUUGCUGUCAUAUAAGUCCAGCUUUUCCGUGAAUUUAACAGUUUUAUCCUGUUAUCGAUGUGUUUUUAUUUUCUUGAAAAUAAGCAGAUUGAGACAUCAGAUGGGAGAAAGGCUUGACUAUGUCGCCAGCAGCCUCAUGCCAAAUUCCUGAUUCCUGGAGGACAGAGCCCCCCUCCUGCUCCAAGGCCAGGAGAUGGCGCCACUGGACAGUGAGUCUGGGAUUCCUAGCACACACUUGUGAUUGCUGGUCCAGGAAAAAGAAGCAGGAAGGGCCAUUAGUACAAUCAGUCAGGAAAUUCUGCUUAAGUGCACAUUUCUCCCCAGGAGAGUCGGGUCACUGCACUGGGAGGAAGCCCGCCUGCCAAGGGCUGUGUCUGGAACCUGUUCAUCGCGCUCCACUCAGCACACUGACAGACACCCACAGACGUGUCUGUAGCAUCCUCUGUCACACUGGGACCCGUACUGGCAGCAGGAGCCGUAGGGAGGACUGGGACACCUGGAAGCCAGGAAUUGGCACAGACACCUUCUGAGAAUGUCUUGGGUUGAGAUUCCCCUUUGGAAACUUUACAGUGAUGCGACCUCAGCCCACCCUCUGCCUUUUCCUGAUCCUGGGUUUCAGGACUACCUGGGGCUGGCCCAAGAUGCCUACAGCUGCCAAGUCUCUUGGGAAAGUCUAGUGAAUAUCAGCCCCUAGGUCGUUCCUCCCAAAGAGCCUGAGGUGUGGCGGUGAGGCCUCCCCAGGGAGCAGCUGGAUGCUAUGGGGUGGGACCAGUCUCCUAUAUCAUUAUUGUAAAAAACUAAUCCCUUGGGACACGCCUUUUCUUCUCCAACCCGUUUCCAUUCCUUGGGGACACAUGGCUAGUCAGCCAAUCAAAUUCUGGUAUGGAGGAAACCAAAUUAUUUCUGUCCUGUAAUCCUAGCACUUUGGGAGGCCAAGGUGGGUGGAUCACCUGAGGUCAGGAGUUCAAGACCAGCCUGGCCAACAUGGUGAAACCCCGACUCUACUAAAAAUCCAAAAAUUAGCUGGGCGUGGUGGUGCACCCUUGUAAUCUCAGCUACUCGUGAGGCUGAGGCAGAAUUGCUAGAACCCGGGAGGUGGAGGUUGCAGUGAGCUGAGAUUGCGCCACUGCACUCCAGCCUGGGCGACAGGGCAAGACUCCGUCUCAAAAAAAAAAAAAAAAAAAGAAGAAAUGAUUUCUGUCCUCUGGAUUCUCUCAGUCUAGUGAAAGAAGAAAACCACCCCCAAUGAGUUGUUGCAAGGACCUGAAAAGCACACAGUUGAGUGUCUUCUGGGAGGGUGGUCACUGAGCACUUCAGGGAGCAGCUUGGAGGUGGGGGGAUGUCCCAAGUGAUAGGAUGAUGUGACCUGACACUUGAGUCAGACACUUGAGUGUUUCAGGUCAGCACUGCCCCUCCCUGGGUUUAUCACCUUGAAAAAAUUGGUUUACUCAUUUCAGCUUCAGGUUUUUUUUUUUUUUUUUGAGACGGAGUUUCACUGUUGUUGCCCAGGCUGGAGUGCAAUGACGCGAUCUCGGUUUGCCGCAACCUCCGCCUCCCAGGUUCAAGUAAUUCUUCUGCCUCAGUCUCCCAGGUAGCUGGGAUUACAGGCAUGUGCCACAAUGCCCACCUAAUUUUGUAUGUUUAGUAGAGAUGGGGUUUCACCAUGUUGGUCAGGCUGGUCUCGAACUCCCGACCUCAGGUGAUCUGCCCACCUCAGCCUCCCAAAGUGCUGGGAUUACAGGCGUGAGCCACCAUGCCCAGCCAUCAGCUUCAGUUUUUUUUUUUUUUUUCUUUUAGGAUUGCUUUUAUGAGCUAGGCAUAUUUGUAUGGGAAGGGGGAAUUUUUUUUUCUUUUUUUAGUAUUUAUUUAUCAUUCUUGGGUGUUUCUCGGAGAGGGGGAUUUGGCAGGGUCAUAGGACAAUAGUGGAGGGAAGGUCGGCAGAUAAACAGUUGUGAACAAGGGUCUCUGGUUUUCCUAGGCAGAGGAUCCUGCGGCCUUCUGCAGUGUUUGUGUUCCUGGGUACUUGAGAUUGGGGAGUGGUGAUGACUCUUAACGAGCAUGCUGCCUUGAAGCAUCUGUUUAACAAAGCGCAUCUUGCACUGCCCUUAAUCCAUUUAAACCUGAGUGGACACAGCACAUGUUUCAGAGAGCACGGGGUUGGGGGUAAGGUUAUAGAUAACAGCAUCCCAAGGCAGAAGAAUUUUUCUUAGUAUAGAACAAAAUGGAGUCUCCUAUGUCUACUACUAUCUACACAGACACAGUAACAAUCUUAUCUUUCUUUUCCCCACAUUUCCCCCUUUUCUAUUCGACAAAACUGCCAUCGUCAUCAUGGCCCGUUCUCAGUGAGCUGUUGGGUACACCUCCCAGACGGGGUGGAGGCCAGGCGGAGGCGCCCCCCCACCUCCCAGACGGGGCGGCUGGCCAGGCGGGGGCUGCCCCCCACCUCCCUUCCUCCUGGACAGGGCAGCUGGCUGGUCGGGGGCUGCCCCCCACCUCCCUCCCGGACGGGGCAGCUGCCGGGCGGAGACCCUCCUCACUUCCCAGACGGGGCAGCUGCCAGGCAGAGGGGCUCCUCACUUUCCCAGACAGGGCAGCUGCUGGGCGGAGGGGCUCCUCACUUCUCAGACGGGGUGGCCAGGCAGAGACGCUCGUCACCUCCCAGACGGGGUGGUGUUCAGGCAGAGACACUCCUCAGUUCCCAGACGGGGUCACGGCCGGGUAGAGGCGCUCCUCACAUCCUAGACAGGGCAGUGGGGCAGAGGCGCUCCCCACAUCUCAGACGAUGGGCGGCAAGGCAGAGACGCUCCUCACUUCCUAGAUGGGAUGGCGCCGGGAAGAGGCGCUCCUCACUUCCCAGACUGGGCGGCAGGGCAGAGGCGCUCCUCACAUCCCAGACCAUGGGCGGCCAGGCAGAGACACUCCUCACUUCCUAGAUGGGAUGGUGGCCGGGAAGAGGCGCUCCUCACUUCCCAGACUGGGCAGCCGGGC
This 15457-nucleotide long non-coding RNA is filed under the name Homo sapiens (human). RNAcentral describes it as "non-protein coding lnc-ZNF627-2:9". Lineage: Eukaryota; Metazoa; Chordata; Mammalia; Primates; Hominidae. The record is from RNAcentral.